UCACCCCUCGCGAAGCGCAGCGCAUGGAAUCAGAGUCGCUCAUGGAAUCAGGAUUGCGACGAACCAAUUCAUCUUGCCGGAAGCCUGUCUGCACAUGGAAUCAGAAUCGCUCUUAGCUCUAGCUGCACCACAGAUGCUGAGAAGAUUCAAUCUGAGCCACCGAGCUGGAAUGCACCUCAUACGUCGGUGAAAUCGCCCCAACAGCAAGCUUCCAGUAUCACUCCUUCAUUUAUCUUCAAUCGAGGAACUCCUAGAUGAAUGCCUCUUUGAGAUCUUCAUACGGCUUCCCAGCUGUAGAGAAAGGAGCUCCUGUGCCUAUGUUAAGAUCUUCGAGCUGUUGAGCCUUGGUGUGAGGUUUGUACUGGACUUCAAUCCCGUCUUCAGGAAUACAAAUCGGAAAACCAACAGCUCGAGGAACUUCUUACUUCGGAGGUGAAUAUGGAAUCUAUCAUGAGAAAUUGAGAAUUGACUGAGACGAGGAUGAUGCAAGUAAGUUGGCCCUCUUGCUUCUCGCCUUUUCUACUUGGAACCGAAAAGUAUAAUUAGUCAUGGGAUGUCUUGUGCUGAUUGAGAGCAUGGGCGAGUUUUUAUUGCUUUGAUCAAGUACAGCAUACUUGCUUUGAUAAAUAGAAGGAUUACAAGAUGUCUGAAACGAGUUCUACAAGUGUCAUAGAAAGAAGGACAAGAUCUGUAGUGUGGGAACACUUUAAACGGAUUCUUGAUCAAGAUAAGGCUGAAUGUUUAUACUGUGGGGCACAAAUUCGUUGUGCUAGUAAUCACGGGACUAGUUCGAUGCAUCAUCAUUUAGGUAGAUGCAAGGAAUACCCAUAUGCAAAUGUUGAGAAAAGGAUAAAAAGUGCCUCGGAUCAACUUCUUGGGGUCGGUAGUUCAUUGGGUCCAUGGAAAAUUGAUCAAGAUGUUAGUCGAAAAAACCUAGCAAAAAUGUUUAUUAUUGGUGAAUUGCCUUUUAAGUUCGUAGAAAAUGAGGGAUUUCGGCUAUUCGUGAAUAGAAUCCAGCCAAAGUUUCUAAUCCCGUGUCGGAACACAUUGAGGUAUGAUUGUUACAAGUUAUACAU
Long non-coding RNA from Syzygium oleosum, 1076 nucleotides. RefSeq lists it as uncharacterized. The record is from RefSeq and is a predicted model, not a curated record. The transcript is spliced from 4 exons. NCBI's taxonomy places the organism in Eukaryota, Viridiplantae, Streptophyta, Magnoliopsida, Myrtales, Myrtaceae.